UACGAAGGGUGCAAGCGUUAAUCGGAUUUAUUGGGCGUAAAGGGCGCGUAGGCGGAAAAGCAAGUCAAAUGUGAAAUCCCUGGGCUUAACCCAGGAACUGCAUUUGAAACUACUUAUCUAGAGGAUAGACGGAGAAAGUGGAAUUCCACGUGUAGCGGUAAAAUGCGUAGAUAUGUGGAAGAAUACCGGUGGCGAAGGCGACUUUCUAGUUUAUACCUGACGCUCAGGCGCGAGAGCAAGGGGAGCAAACAGGAUUAGAUACCCUGGUAGUCCUUGCCGUAAACGAUGUAUACUUGGCGUAGCUGGUCUCAACCCCAGCUGUGCCGGAGCUAACGUGUUAAGUAUACCGCCUGAGGAGUACGCUCGCAAGGGUGAAACUCAAAAGAAUUGACGGGGGCUCGCACAAGCAGUGGAGCAUGUGGUUUAAUUCGAUGCAACGCGAGGAACCUUACCUAGACUUGACAUCCAGGGGACAGCUACAGAAAUGUAGCCUUCUUCGGACCGCUGGACAGGUGCUGCAUGGCUGUCGUCAGCUCGUGCCGUGAGGUGUUGGGUUAAGUCCCGCAACGAGCGCAACCCUUAUCACUAGUUACCAGCAUUUCGGAUGGGAACUCUAGUGAGACUGCCUGGGUUAACCAGGAGGAAGGUGAGGAUGACGUCAAGUCAGCAUGGCCCUUAUGUCUAGGGCUACACACGUGCUACAAUGGUCGGUACAGAAGGCAGCGAAGCCGUGAGGUGGUGCUAAUCCUAUAAAACCGAUCUCAGUUCGGAUUGUAGUCUGCAACUCGACUACAUGAAGUUGGAAUUGCUAGUAAUGGCGUGUCAGCAAUAACGCCGUGAAUACGUUCUCGGGCCU
This 856-nucleotide ribosomal RNA is filed under the name uncultured bacterium. RNAcentral describes it as "bacterial SSU rRNA". It matches the Rfam family "Bacterial small subunit ribosomal RNA", at positions 524 to 1381 of the family's 1533-position model. The record is from RNAcentral.